Molecule: ribosomal RNA, 362 nt
Filed under: Ophelina cf. abranchiata NHM_1769
Lineage: Eukaryota; Metazoa; Annelida; Polychaeta; Opheliidae
Description: partial 16S ribosomal RNA
Rfam family: Bacterial large subunit ribosomal RNA
Source: RNAcentral
AAGGUAGCAUAAUAAUUUGCCCAUUAAUUGGGGGCUUGUAUGAAAGGAUAAAUGAGAUAAAACCUGUCUUUUUUGUUGUACUAAAAAUUGAUUUUCAGGUGCAGAGGCCUGAAUUUAGGUAGAGGACAAGAAGACCCUAUUGAGCUUUACUCAGCUUAAUCAAUCUUGGUGACAGUUGGGUUUGGUUGGGGCGACAGAGGAAUACCUAAGACUUCCUUUUUAAUUUUGGUUUUCUUGCCUUUUAAUUAGCCAAGAUGAUUGAUUAGGGAAAUGAGUUACCAUAGGGAUAACAGGCUAAUUUUCUUUUAGAGUUCAUAUUGGCAAGAAAGUUUGGCACCUCGAUGUUGGCUUAGGGUACCCUU